This 8490-nucleotide long non-coding RNA is filed under the name Fragaria vesca (wild strawberry). RNAcentral's name for it is "long non-coding RNA (FVES_LNC001656)". Lineage: Eukaryota; Viridiplantae; Streptophyta; Magnoliopsida; Rosales; Rosaceae. The record is from RNAcentral.
AUAUAAUUCUGAUAAUUUGCAUGCUAAUAGGAUGAGUGACGCCAUGCCUUAGAUCAUGUUUCCGAUUGACUCGUGUGCUAAAGUGUUUUCUUGUUUAAUCUCUACGCAACGUGUCUUUAAAUGAGUUAGCAUUCAUGUUUAAGAUCAAGCGCAAAGAUGGUUCUAAAUACUUGAGGAGUCUUAACAAUUAGAUAACCGCAAAGGCUCUAAUUAAAUCGGAAUUGGUUAGAGUCUAGGAUAAUUUGAACGUUGUUGCCCGGCCUUGCAUGAAGUUGUUAUGUGUUCUUGAUGGUUUUUCGUGUUAUGUGUUGCAUGAGUAUGUUGAUCACUUGUAUAUAAUAAUCUUAGGUUAAAUUUUCAAAAGGUUAUUUGUUAGAAUUAAUCAAUCUUAAACCCCCAAUAUUUCGAUGUAUAUAUGUGAAUACUUGUUUAUAAAUUGUUUGGUUUCUCUUCUUUCGAUCGCCCUUUGGUUUCCCCGGCUAGAACGAUCCCUACUUGUCCAUAUUACUACGAUUGCAGGGUAAUUAAAUUGAAGUUGUUUGACCCCGGUUACGCGACACGUCACUAAUGCACACAAUCACCACUAAAGCACACAUUCACAACUAAGACACACAAUCACCACCAAGGCAUCAUUCCACAACGAAUGUACACAAUCACCACUAAUGUCACAUCCCGACUCUUAAAUUUUUACCUUAUUUACUAGCUUGGUAAUAAUAAGAGUUUUACUGUAACAUCCCGGACCCAAAUUUUACCUAUUUACUCGGUAUUUCACGAGUUACUGGAGAAUUUAACAGUGCUCGGUAACUUAGUAAGUUAACACUCGAGUUUAUUUGUGAGUUUUUCUGGAAAUGUCAAACUCUUCUUUUUAGGUCCCGAUGUCGUAGUUCAAGUCGAUUCGAGUUCUUCGGUGUCUUCAGAAUUGUUUUGCGGAGCUCCGGAUUAUUUUUCUAUGUUUUAUCGAAGGUUUGGUACUAGGAUUAUUCUUACUGAGAUUAGGGUAUAAAUUUUUUUCGAGUUUUAAAGGAAAAGAAGUGGUGGACUUCGGUCAAAAGCCCAAAGUGGGUGUUGACCAGCUCUUCCACUCCUCUCCCCGACUCCCUCUCUCUCUCGUCUCUCAGUCUUGCCGUGCCGGAGUGGCGCCGUCCGGCCACCUAUGACGACAAGACCCCCACCAAUUCUCUUCCUCUCCCUCUUCUUUACAACGUCUAGCUUUCAAUUCACCAGUGUCCGAACUUUGGAAGGAGAUCGACGGGAAGAAGCACAGCAGCCCUCCGGCGAUUCUUGUUGAUGUCGGCCAUGACUUGGCACCCGAACGGUAGGGUUCGUCUCCUCUAUCCUUCUUCCUUCUUUCUCUGCCUUUGACUCUUCAAAACGAGUUCAAAUUCGGGAGCCCCUUUUUGUGUUUUUAGGUUUUCGUCGGGGUUUUCCGGCGAGUUCGUUCUUGGAGCUCCGGCGGGACUACCGUGCUCUAGUGAGUCUAGAAUCAGUUGAAUGGAGCCCAGACACGUCUUGGGAAGGGUUGGAGGAAGCAAUGGUGGUAUUGAACCGAGGUAGAGGUUUUCUGCCAAAGGGAGGUCCCCUAUUCUUCUAUUGGUUCUUUAUUUUUGUCAAGACGAAGGCUUGGUGAGUUUGGCUUGUGAGGAACCGAAGUAAUCUGGAACUGUUUCGGUGAAGGUGGCAGCUAAGGCAGCCGUUGGGAAUGUUUGGAGGUCUUUCAUGUGGAGUCUGGCAAGGAGGAGCUCUGGUUUGCGAAAUAGAGCAAAUUGAAGGUAAGUUGGUGUUUUCGGCUAUUGUAUUGAGUUGUAUUGAGGUUUGGGUGCUAGUUAGGUGAUUUGGAAUUAUGCUCGGUGUUUUUCGGAAAUGGUUAAUGACUGUUCUUGUUGUUGUGGUUGUUGCAUGUCGAGAACUUGGAGUUCUGAAGAAUACGGGGAGGCUAUGGCGAAAUUCCGGCAAGUCACCAGAAUCCGACGAGUAUUUCUGGCAGAACCCAUGAAGGUAGCUUGUCGACUUUUCUUUUCGUGUAAGUGGUAGUUUACGGUUUAGGAAAACCUGCCAUAUUUAGAAAGUCUCUUUUUAGGGAACUUUCCCCUUUAUGGAAACUUCCAUUCUUGGAAACCCUUUUGGGUGCCCUUAGUAAUUGUUGGUGUGAAGUUGGGUAGAAAAGAAAUGUUGGAAUUGUUGGUUCUGGUUGGCUUAAGCUAGGGGACCAUAAAAUAAUUUUUGUUAAUAUGAUUACUAUCCAUAGUAACCCUAAAAUCUAGACCAUUGGCUUCAUGGUGAUUUUGGAAGUGAAUUGCUUAGUGUGUUAAAGGCAUAGAGAUAGUGUGUGACUUCGAUUUCAGGUUAAGGUUUGGUUUGAAACCGAAUAAGUUUUGGAUGCGAAGUUAGUAGUAGAAAAUGAUUCUUUUAUCUAUUGGUCAACCUAGGAAAUCUUAGUCAAACCAGGAAGAAGUCGAUUCGUUAAUGUUGAUGGAGUCCGGUCUGACCAAUUUAUUCUUCUGUUUAUCGUCAGACGUGGGAUUGGCUAGAGUGUGUAAUUAGUUGGAGGCAGCGCUCGAGGAGUAUUCCGAGCAUUGGAAGGCUUAGGCCUAAUACUGUGAGUGGACUUUUAUUUUAAAUAAUAUGCAUGCUAUGGUUUUGGUUGAGCAUUUAAAAUUGUUGGAGUUUUAACGUCAUUUAAUUUUGACGCUUUUAUUUCUUUUGGAGAGUUACCGAAAAAUAGGAUUUUUCGGUGAGUAUAAAUAUGUAUAUUGAGGAGAGUAUGUAUAUAAAUGCUAGCUAGCCAUAUGUGUUUGUCCACCUUAAUGGCGUAGCAUAUAACCGUAUUAUGGUGUGACGUGAGCGUUGGAUGCGAGCGUAGUAGCCCUAUAUGAGUGUUUAAUUCAUAUAGGGGGUAUGGGCACAUAUUUAUACACCCGUCUGUCCACCUUAAUGGCGUAGUGUAACACCGCAUUAAGACGUGACGUGAGCGUUGGACGCGAGCGUAGUAGCUCUAUAUAGACCCAUGAAUUUAUAUAGGGAGUAUGGACGUGUGUAAAUACAUACAUAUAUUUUUUUAGAGUCUGAGAGACUCGAUAUGUAUGGGAUAAAAGUUCUAUCGCUUGCAGCAUGCAUUCAACUUUCCUUGGAAAUUGAUUUGGGGAAACAUAAAUAUUUUAUUCGUUAAUUUAUUUUUGUCUACUCACUCUAACGUUUAGUUUUCAAAUGUUUUUCCCCUGGGCUCUUCGUUUUAAAAAUGCCCAGUUUGCAAGAUUGCAUAGUUGUGGUCGGACGUAUUUGGAGAAGAGGCAUAGUCAAUAGUGUUGCUUCCGCUCAUUUUUAUAUUUCUAGUUCAUUUCCUUUCAAAUAGAGUUGCUCUGAACUAUGGCUGUUGGCUAUGAGAUUUUCUUGUUUAAGUUAGUAAUUAAAUUUGGAGAUGUUGUGAUUUGGGGAGCACGAAGGCUCCAGGAGUUUAAGGUUGGAUUUGGAUUUUUCAGAAGUGUUUGCAGGUAUUUAUUAGAAAGGGUUGUCCAUUUUCAAGGGAGGUUGUGCCGAUUUUUCGGUAAACUUUCCUUGGAGGUGGUCCCCGCAGGAUUUACUUCGGGUUUCAGGGUGAAAUUCGGGGUGGGUCUUGAUAGUUGGUAUCAGAGCACUAGGUUAUUCGUUUCCUUUCUCAUUUUAGUACUACCUCAUAUUCUUGGUCAUGCUUAGUGUCUAUAGAGUGAUGGUCCGACCGCGGCGGAUCUAUUAGCAUUAUAUGCUUUAGACACUAUGUGUUGAUUAGGUUUGUGAUGUAGUUGUUCUUGUUUUAUUUAUGGUCAGUAUUAUGCCAUAAAUAUCUAUAUCUUCAAGACUAUGCCUCCGUACGCUGACCUUUUAGGUAAUCUUUAUGUUUCGUGUAAUAUAAAGGUAUAUUGAUUACGCCUUUUCCAAGGAUAUUCGAGUUGAUAUCAUAAAUUAUUAGAGUUUAAUUGCGAGUUGGGAACUCCAGUUGGGAACUCAUAAGAGUGGUAGCAUUCGUUUCAUUUGAUCAAUGAUUGUUUGGGUAAUGAUUAAGAUGCUGAGGGGAACAUCUUGUGCGAAUCUGUAGUACGUGAAACGUUUGAUUCGACGGAUGUCUUGAGAGUUUUCUAUUUUUGGUGGGCAAGUAAAGAGCUGUGGUAAUCCGAUAGAAAAUCUUGGCAUCUAGUUACGUGACUUCUGAAAGAAAAGAGUUGGAAAGAAAGUUUGGAGUAGUGGUGUACUCUAUAGAUUUAAAGGUUGGUGGAAGUGAUGUGGUGAGGUACCCAUAGUAAUUCGAAGAGGUACCUAUACGAGUCGAUGAGGACUCUAAUUUUGGGCUGAUUAGUCACGAGGGAUUGUGUGGCUAAUAAAAAGGCUAUCAAUUUAGAGAAGUCUUGAUUCUUGACCAAAUUCCCAACUGCUUUAUCCGCAGCGAAAGUUAGUUGGGAUUGUUUUGGUUAAUGCUUGUUAUGGUCGCGCAUGUUCUGGCCGUACAACUCUAAUUAAGGAUAUGUUUUUAUCCUUGGAAUCAUCAUAUUAAACAGUAAAAUCGGAGAAUUUAGGAGAAGGAGGUUAGCAGCAGUCGGCGGAUAGUAAGAUUUUUUGAUGAAUUUCGCCUAAAUUAAAGAUGGAUUAGUUGAAGUUGGUUUUACAACAGUCAUUAGUCAAUGGCAUUAUGGCAAACUUGAUGUUGUGUCGUGGUCGGGGAAUUAUUAGAAAUUGAAUGGUGUCAUCAAAAGUUUCGAGUUUUGAGUUUCGAGCAAGCUUUAAAGCGUUGAGCGACUUCUGUCAGCUAUAGUAUUUUAAUCGUGGGCCGUUGUAGAUUCUUUCGGAAUUCUAAGUGUUGAAGUUGGAUUCCAGUUUUGUUGAGUGUUUUGGGAAGAAAAUAAAUUUAAAUGAAAUUGAAAAGUAAUGGUGGAGUGAGAGCGGAUGGUUGUGGUCACUCCGGUUUUACGACAACAUCUGGUGAAUUUGUGAUGUGUUGUCAGGGGUAUUCUAAAAUAGUUGUGUAGAGCUGGUGGAAGUGGUAGCAGUGGAAUAAAACCCACUGGAUCUUGGAGCAAGACUGUGUGGGUGUCCAUAGUAAAUUUCAAGCUGCAUUGUUUUAAGUAGUGAUGUAUGUCUCAAAUUUGUGAUCGAAGUUGGUUUUUGAUAUCAUUUCGUUCACAAUGGGUGACUAAUUACGACACAACAAUGAGAGGAUUUGUUCUCGCCUUAUUUCUAAUUCAGUGAGAUGGAGUAAGGUUUUGGUUGUGGUGUGUGUGGGAAUAUUUCAAUUAUUCCUACUGUAGUUUGUGGGUAGCAUCCUCAGAGCUUGAAAUUAUGGAAUGCGAUUUCAACGCUUCGAUUUGAAGGUUAGAGAUUAUGGUUAGUUUGUCGAAUUUUUGAGGCAAAUCAUAAAUUGGUAGUUGUGUCGUAGUCAUGGAGUUCAUUUAAGCGAUGAGUCUUGAUGCCGUAAAUCCUAUGUGGUAGUUUGAGAGUUGCACGGUGAUGUUCAUUUGAUGGUUUGUGCCGUUAUAGACAUGUUGUAGCCUUAUGGAAAAGGGUUUUUCCCUGUUGACUCAAGAAGCGUCUAGAGGUUUAUUAAGAGUUAUAAUAUUGAGGGUAGUAGAUAUGGGGAUAGGUUGAACGAUGUCUCUUCUCGAGAUCGUAUUGUGGUGGGACCACUUAUUGAUCCAAGUUUGAUUUGGGAGAUCUUUGCUUUUUGGUGGUGUGUUCAUCCAUUGGUGUCAGGAUGAUUAGUUGAGGUUUCUAAUGCGAUUUUGAAACGGUUCUGGCGGAUAUCGGAGAUUUGUGGAGCUUUUGAGCUCGAAGUUAGAGGACUUGCCUUUCGUGUGCUUUAAGUUAUUUCUUCUGGAACUUGAGCUGAGUUUAGCCUUGAGUUUUGAUUCUUGCUUGAAUUCAUGGUUUUCAUUGGUUGGAGAACCACAAAAUGUGGUAAUGGGUCUUGUAUAAAAUUUAUCUUUGCAUUUGAUAGUUGCAUGAUUCUGCAUGCUCGGUUAUCAAAGAAUUUUUUUGGUGGGAAGCCGUGGCCCUAGGCGGUGUAGGAGACUUGAGCAUAUUUGUUUUUCAGAUCGUCUUCUGCUAUUAGACUAAUCGUUAAGAAGUGUAUUUGUCGGGUGCAAAGGUUUUGGCUUUUAGAAUCAUUCUUGUGGAACGGCUAGAGUGAGCCAUGUGCUUUUAAUUGUUGCACUUAGGGUCGCAGUUGCACCCGAAUAAUUAGCAUGGUUGGAGAUGUAAAUUUUGUCAAUGCUUAAAGAAGGUGUUCUAUUUAUGUGGAUUUCAACAUCAAGUUUAGCAUCACGAAUUGACUGUGCCAAUUUUUCAUGGGCAUUAUUAGUCAGUUUUGUUUAUGGCGAGCAUGGGGGAAUUUCUAGUUUCCACAUGAUAGUCAUGUUUCAGAUUGUCUUCUGAUUUGUGGUAAAGAGAUUGGUAGAGAUAGCAGAAUCAAGAGAGAGUUGGAUUUCCUAUAAGCUGCUAGUUUGUGGUGCAUAAAAUGGUAAUGUAAUAGUUUUGGUGGAGAUACCUAAGUGACGUGGUAUUGAUCUUUUCAUAAUGUUAUCUCGAAAAUCAAGGUUAUCAUAUGUUGGUGGACUGGUCACUGAGGCAAAGCAAAGCUGUCUUGUGGACUUGCGAGGGCUUUGACUCCACGAAAGACUUUGCGAGGUGUCUCGGUAUUAAAAGUGAUUGUUACAGUUCUGCAGUGUGUGCAUCCUUAAAUCUGUUCAAUUAGCAGGUCUUAAUUUUGACCCCUAUGAGCAUGUGGGAAUGUGUGAACUUUAGUUUUUUUAGCAAGUUGGCUUCGACGCUGAGUUUGUGAGUUGCAUAAUGACUAGUUUGUUGUAUGUCAUUAGGAGAUUUAAGCCUGGCAGUGAUAUUGAAUUUUUCUCUGUAUUAGCUAUUUUAAGUUUCUUAAUGAAACAAAUUGUGAUUUGUUGUCGAUCAAUGAUCAUUACCUUUGGCUCGUUCAGUUUAAAAUUUCGAGCACGAAAUUUUUAUAAGGAGGGGAGAUUGUAACAUCCCGGACCCAAAUUUUACCUAUUUACUUAGUAAGUUAACACUCGAGUUUAUUUGCGAGUUUUUCUGGAAAUGUCAAACUCUUCUUUUAAGGUCCCGAUGUCGUAGUUCAAGUCGAUUCGAGUUCUUCGGUGUCUUCAGAAUUGUUUUACGGAGCUCCGGAUUAUUUUUCUAUGUUUUAUCAUAGGUUUGGUACUAGGAUUAUUCUUACUGAGAUUAGGGUAUAAAUUUUUUUCGAGUUUUAAAGGAAAAGAAGUGGUGGACUUCGGUUAAAAGCCCAAAGUGGGUGUUGACCAGCUCUCCCACUCCUCUCCCCGACUCCCUCUCUCUCUCGUCUCUCAGUCUUGCCGCGCCGGAGUGGCGCCGUCCGGCCACCUAUGACGACAAGACCCCCACCAAUUCUCUUCCUCUCCCUCUUCUUUACAACGUCUAGCUUUCAGUUCACCCGUGCCUGAACUUUGGAAGGAGAUUGACGGGAAGAAGCACAACGGCCCUCCGGCGAUUCUUGUCGAUGUCGGCCAUGACUUGGCACCCGAACGGUAGGGUUCGUCUCCUCUAUCCUUCUUCCUUCUUUCUCUGCCUUUGACUCUUCAAAACGAGUUCAAAUUCGGGAGCCCCUUUUUGUGUUUUUAGGUUUUCGUCGGGGUUUUCCGGCGAGUUCGUUCUUGGAGCUCCGGCGGGACUACCGAGCUCCGGUGAGUCUAGAACCGGUUGAAUGGAGCCCAGACACGUCUUGGGAAGGGUUGGAGGAAGCGACGGUGGUAUUGAACCGAGGUAGAGGCUUUCCGCCAAAGGGAGGUCCCCUGUUCUUCUAUUGGUUCUAUGUUUUAUGGUGUGACGUGAGCGUUCGACGCGAGCGUAGUAGCCCUAUAUGAGUGUUUAAUUCAUAUAGUGGGUAUGGGCACAUAUUUAUACACCCGUCUGUCCACCUUAAUGGCGUAGUGUAGCACCGCAUUAAGGCGUGACGUGAGCGUUGGACGCGAGCGUAGUAGCCCUAUAUAGACCCAUGAAUUUAUAUAGGGAGUAUGGACGUGUGUAAAUACAUACAUAUAUUUUUUUUAGAGUCUGAGAGACUCGAUAUUUAUGGGAUAAAAGUUCUAUCGCUUGCAGCAUGCAUUCAACUUUCCUUAGAAAUUGAUUUGGGGAAACAUAAAUAUUUUAUUCGUUAAUUUAUUUUUAUCCACUCACUCUAACGUUUCGUUUUCAAAUGUUUUUCCCCUGGGCUCUUCGUUUUAAAAAUGCCCAGUUUGCAAGAUUGCAUAGUUGUGGUCGGACGUAUUUGGAGAAGAGGCAUAGUCAAUAGUGUUGCUUCUGCUCAUUUUUAUAUUUCUAGUUCAUUUCCUUUCAAAUAAAGUUGCUCUGAACUGUGGCUGUUGGCUAUGAGAUUUUCUUGUUUAAGUUAGUAAUUAAAUUGGGAGAUGUUGUGAUUUGGGGAGCACGAAAGCUCCAGGAGUUUAAGGUUGGAUUUGGAUUUUUCAGAAGUGUUUGCAG